This 401-nucleotide transfer RNA is filed under the name Raphidiopsis mediterranea CHAB1355. Its description in RNAcentral is "partial 16S-23S ribosomal RNA intergenic spacer". The stretch from base 201 to 273 matches the Rfam family "tRNA". The record is from RNAcentral. Lineage: Bacteria; Bacillati; Cyanobacteriota; Cyanophyceae; Nostocales; Aphanizomenonaceae.
UAGGGAGACCUACCCAUUGAAGAAUCGAAAGCCGAAGGCGAAUAGAGAAUCAACUGGUCUACUCUAGGUCGGUGACGUGAGAUUGUGAAGUCUUUCAAACUAAUAUUUGGUUCGCGAGAGGGCUAUUAGCUCAGGUGGUUAGAGCGCACCCCUGAUAAGGGUGAGGUCCCUGGUUCGAGUCCAGGAUGGCCCACCUGAAUGGGGGUUUAGCUCAGCUGGUAGAGCGCCUGCUUUGCAAGCAGGAUGUCAGCGGUUCGAGUCCGCUAACCUCCACAUUAGGAAGAAACUAGCAACUAGGGAAGACCUAGACUGCUGGUGGAAACCAGCCAGAACCUUGAAAACUGCAUAUAGAUAGAUAAGAGAGCCGAAAUCGAAAGAUAGAAGCAAGUGAAGAACCAAGU